CCUACGGGAGGCAGCAGUGAGGAAUCUUGGUCAAUGGACGAGAGUCUGAACCAGCCAAGUAGCGUGAAGGAUGAAUGCCCUAUGGGUUGUAAACUUCUUUUAUAAAGGAAUAAAACGAGGCACGUGUGCCUUUUUGCAUGUACUUUAUGAAUAAGGAUCGGCUAACUCCGUUCCAGCAGCCGCGGUAAUACGGAGGAUCCGAGCGUUAUCCGGAUGUCUUGGUUUUAACGGGUGCGUAUAUGGGUUGUUAAGUCAGUUGUGAAAGUUUGCGGCUAAACCGUAAAAUUGCAAUUGAUACUGGCAGUCUUGAGUACAGUUGAGGUAGGCGGAAUUCGUGGUGUAGCGGUGAAAUGCUUAGAUAUCACGAAGAACCCCGAUUGCGAAGGCAGCUUACUAAACUGUGACUGACAUUGAUGCUCGAAAGUGUGGGUAUCAAACAGGAUUAGAUACCCGGGUAGUC
Molecule: ribosomal RNA, 460 nt
Filed under: uncultured bacterium
Lineage: Bacteria
Description: partial 16S ribosomal RNA
Rfam family: Bacterial small subunit ribosomal RNA
Source: RNAcentral